This is a long non-coding RNA of Coregonus clupeaformis (lake whitefish), 478 nucleotides long. RefSeq lists it as uncharacterized. The transcript is spliced from 4 exons. The record is from RefSeq and is a predicted model, not a curated record. NCBI's taxonomy places the organism in Eukaryota, Metazoa, Chordata, Actinopteri, Salmoniformes, Salmonidae.
UGUGACCAAUGCCAUAUUAGAGCAGUAGCUGUCAUGAGUGACUUGUUUGUCAUACAAAGCUAUAUAGCUAGCUAGCCUGGAAACUCGACGUUUGUCUCACAUUCCUACCGCCAAAAGGAUGAACCGCACGGACAACCGUUAGUACAGCCAGCUGACCAGCCGUAACGUUACGUUACCCCCUUGCCUUGUGUUCUUCGGAUCAUCAUUCUCCUUUUGCCAAUUACAGCCUGCCAACCAGCCAGUCAACGAACCAGCUGUAGCCCUUGGUAACUUACUCUUCGUAAGAGUCUUCCUCCUCCUCCAGCCAGCUAACGAUAUAAUGGAUAGAGCGAGAAAACGCUGCUACAACAGGAAAUGGAUUGCCUCAAGGAGAAAGCUACUAAAGGACUGUAGCUUAAAUAGGCCAGGCCAAGAAAGGCAUAUCGAUCCUGCGGAGUCAGAGAUUGCUAUGGAAUACGCAACAGUAGCACAAGUGUUU